GAUGGGUUGUUGCUGGUUCUCUAGGGAGCAUGUGCACACCUUGUCAUCUUUAUAUCUCCACCUGUGCACUUUUUGUAGACCUUUUCAGGUCUAUGUUGCCUCAUUUUACCCCAAUGUAUGUCAAUAGAAUGUUGUGCCUAUAUAUAAUAUAUACAACUUUCAGCAACGGAUCUCUUGGCUCUCGCAUCGAUGAAGAACGCAGCGAAAUGCGAUAAGUAAUGUGAAUUGCAGAAUUCAGUGAAUCAUCGAAUCUUUGAACGCACCUUGCGCUCCUUGGUAUUCCGAGGAGCAUGCCUGUUUGAGUGUCAUUAAUAUAAUCAACCUUCUCUUGUUUUGAGAAUGGUUUGGAUGUGGGGGGUUUGCUGGCCUCUCUCAAAAGGUUCAGCUCCCCUGAAAUGCAUUAGCAGAACAACCUUUGCUCAUUGGUGUGAUAACUAUCUACGCUUAUGAAUAUGAGGGGCAGUUCAGCUUUCUAACGGUCUUUGGACAAUUCAUCAUUAAUGUGACCUCAAAUCAGGUAGGACUACCCGCUGAACUUAA
This 540-nucleotide ribosomal RNA is filed under the name uncultured Cortinarius. RNAcentral describes it as "eukaryotic LSU rRNA". The stretch from base 155 to 308 matches the Rfam family "5.8S ribosomal RNA". The record is from RNAcentral. Lineage: Eukaryota; Fungi; Basidiomycota; Agaricomycetes; Agaricales; Cortinariaceae.